This 488-nucleotide ribosomal RNA is filed under the name uncultured bacterium. Its description in RNAcentral is "partial 16S ribosomal RNA". It matches the Rfam family "Bacterial small subunit ribosomal RNA", at positions 30 to 506 of the family's 1533-position model. The record is from RNAcentral.
UUGAACGCUGGCGGCAGGCCUAACACAUGCCAGUCGAACGGUAACAGGAAGCAGCUUGCUGCUUCGCUGACGAGUGGCGGACGGGUGAGUAAUGUCUGGGAAACUGCCUGAUGGAGGGGGAUAACUACUGGAAACGGUAGCUAAUACCGCAUAACGUCGCAAGACCAAAGAGGGGGACCUUAGGGCCUCUUGCCAUCGGAUGUGCCCAGAUGGGAUUAGCUAGUAGGUGGGGUAACGGCUCACCUAGGCGACGAUCCCUAGCUGGUCUGAGAGGAUGACCAGCCACACUGGAACUGAGACACGGUCCAGACUCCUACGGGAGGCAGCAGUGGGGAAUAUUGCACAAUGGGCGCAAGCCUGAUGCAGCCAUGCCGCGUGUAUGAAGAAGGCCUUCGGGUUGUAAAGUACUUUCAGCGGGGAGGAAGGGAGUAAAGUUAAUACCUUUGCUCAUUGACGUUACCCGCAGAAGAAGCGCCGGCUAACUCCGU